This 245-nucleotide long non-coding RNA is filed under the name Lupinus angustifolius (narrow-leaved blue lupine). RNAcentral's name for it is "long non-coding RNA (LANG_LNC000296)". Lineage: Eukaryota; Viridiplantae; Streptophyta; Magnoliopsida; Fabales; Fabaceae. The record is from RNAcentral.
UUUGAAAGUUUUGUCUGAUAGUGAAUAAUUGUGUAUUUCGUAUGUUAUGAUGUGUAUUAAAAUUUGAUGUCUGAAUGCCUUUAAAUAGGCUUCUAGUCAGUCAUGAUAACCUCCCAUGAAGAGGAGACACGACUGGAAUGAAACCUAUUCACGUUGGAUGAAAAUUGUUCAUUUGAAUUUGAAAAUUUGGUUUCAACAGCUCUGUGUAAUCGAUUGUCACGGGGUGCUAAUCGAUUACUUAAAAG